CGGCGGACGGGUGAGCAACACGUGGAUAACCUACCUAUAAGACUGGGAUAACUUCGGGAAACCGGAGCUAAUACCGGAUAAUAUAUUGAACCGCAUGGUUCAAUAGUGAAAGACGGUUUUGCUGUCACUUAUAGAUGGACCCGCGGCGUAUUAGCUAGUUGGUAAGGUAACGGCUUACCAAGGCAACGAUGCGUAGCCGACCUGAGAGGGUGAUCGGCCACACUGGAACUGAGACACGGUCCAG
Molecule: ribosomal RNA, 244 nt
Filed under: uncultured Staphylococcus sp.
Lineage: Bacteria; Bacillati; Bacillota; Bacilli; Caryophanales; Staphylococcaceae
Description: partial 16S ribosomal RNA
Rfam family: Bacterial small subunit ribosomal RNA
Source: RNAcentral